Mus musculus (house mouse) is the source of this 3152-nucleotide long non-coding RNA. RefSeq annotates it as predicted gene, 36560. The record is from RefSeq and is a predicted model, not a curated record. NCBI's taxonomy places the organism in Eukaryota, Metazoa, Chordata, Mammalia, Rodentia, Muridae. The transcript has 3 exons.
CUGGACAGUUGCUUGAAGGCAUUGGUUAUGGCUUCUCACAAGGUGCAUAAGUGGUUGACUCCAAGGGACAGGAUAAGAGGUCAUAUCUAGGCACAGGUCUCAGACUUCCCCCCAGGUUGGUGCUGGCAGUGAGCCUGGGGGUGGCUGUGGCAGCAGCUUCACCCUAUCAGCUUUCUGGGCACAUCCACCACCAGGCAGCACCUGAGAGGGAACAGACUCCGCAGUGAGCCGAGUGAGAUUGAAGAGGAUCAUAAAGAAAAUAUAUAUCCCCCUCCCUGGCCUCGCUCCCUCCUCCUGCCGCACACUUGCCUCCUCUUUGUCUGUUCCCUCCCCCUCUUUACCGCAGCCCUGUUUUCUUUGUUCCGUCUUUGCUUCUUCCCUCACCUUCAUCUCUGUCAGGCAGGUCUGUCUGUCUGUCUCUCUGAGUUUUCUGGGAUGACGCCUGUCAUGAGCUGCUUCCCAGGCAGCUCCCCAAGGGUCUCUCUCGCUGUCACAUUGUCCUGACUUUCCUUCCAGACUCUGAAUACAGGUCCCCUCCUAUUUGUCCUCUUUCAUGUCCCCCAUCACCAUCUUGUUCCUUACCCUCCCCUCCAUCCUUCCUUCUGCUUCUGUCGCUUGUCUCUUUUAGCUUCUUCCCCCUGAUGCCUGUACACACCCCUGCCCUCCUCUCAUCUUCCCCCACCCACCCCUGCAGGUUCAGAUACUUCAUGUGAAAUCACCUGGAUGGACUCCAGCUGUCAGGUCCCCCCACCCCCCCAGUCCUGUACCCCCUUUCUUCCUGAGAGAUUUAUGGCUUCAACUCGGCCUCCUCUGCAUUCCCCUCAGCCCUGGGCCAGUUCUUUUCAUUACCUGGUGAUUAUCUGGGGGCCCUGGCAUUUCCCCAGCCUCCCACCCUUACCCAGCAGGCUUACAGCGCAGCACAGGGAGAAAGGAUUGCUCUUGGGCCCAGACACAAGGACACAGAGACCCUCCCCCUGUGCCGCCCUCCUUCCCCUCCAGCAGUGCACAUCUGGGAAAAUCCCAGCUCGAGGCAGGGGAAGGCAACCUAGGGUUGUUGGAACAGAUAUAAAUCAAGUACCCAGAUGCCUCUCCCCUACCACCCUAUCCUUACAGCCAUCUUCCAAUGCUGCCUAUUUCCUUUGCUUCUCAGAAUUUGGUCUCGGCAGCCUGAACUGGGCUGGCUUACCAUCAUGUCCAGGAUGAGGAGUUCUUAGCUAAUGUCCUUGAUCCAUAGCUAACUAAGAAGCUUAGGGUAGGGUCAGUGUGGUUUAUCAGACUUGGAGGUGCUGAGCCAUGGGGGAAUUUCAAUUUGCUCUUAGUCCAGUAUUUGGUCUUAGAAUUAAUAUAUGCUCUGUACCUCCAGGUCCAUUGCCAGCCUUCUCCCCCUCCUCUUCAGCUUACCUGCAUCUAAUUUAGCGUUUAAAGGUCUCCACAGGACCAUCGUGUAAAGGCAGUGGUGCCUUGGGACCCAUGGCUUCCUGAUUGCUUGUCUGCUGGGCCCCCAGUCUCUGAGUCAGCUCCUGUCAGGUCAUGGCCUCACCAGUGUUUGAUGGAGGCAGUCCCUUUCUACAGUCCCACAUUUCAGGGAUUCAGACCUAUGCUUUGAAAGUCUCCAGAGCAGAGAAAACAGGAAGCUGUCCAAGCAGGGACUUCCUUAUCUGCUGCUCCAUGGUGCUCAGCCAAUCAGGUUUUCCUGGGACCCCUGGAAAUGUCCUGUUUCUAAACUCUGUGCUGACCAGUCUCCAGCAGAUUUUUUUUCCUGAGGAGAUCUGGACUGAUAAAAAGCUGCACUGAGAAAUGGGAGGAGAGACCAUGGACAAAAAGAAAGAAAAUCCAUUUGUCCGGUCAGCAUCCCCUUUCCAACCCCUUGGUCCAUUACACCCUGUUUCGCUUUAUCCCACUUUGCCUGUCUGGUCUGUUGUGAACUAAGGUAGGGAUGCUUGCUUUUCAGAUUUGUCUCUUUUGAUUUCUCAAGUUGACUGUCUUUUUGUUGUUGUUGUUGUUGUUGUUGUUGUUGUUAAUAGGUCUGUAAUCUCAGCUUUUCAGGGCAUUGAAUCAAGAAGACCACAAAUUAAAGCUAUCUUGAGAGACACAGUGAGUUCAAGGCCAGCCUGGGCAACUAAAUGAGAUAAUCAUGGGGGAGAUAACUCAGUAGUAGAGUGCUCACCUGGUGCAAGGCCCAGUCCCUAGUAAUGAUCUCUUCCUUCCACAAUCGGAUUCUGUGUAAUCUGACACAUUAAGAGAUUCGGCUGUAACCGAAUCUCUUAAUGUGUCAGAUCACGAAUAAAGAAACUAUCCUGAAGUUGUUCUCAAGGGUCUCAGAAACACCAGGUUGCUCACAACCAUACCAAAAAAAAAAAAUACUGUAGGUAGUAUGGAGAACCUGUAUCCUUCUGUGAAGUUAUGGACAUCUGGCUCUUUACCCACAGUGGAAAUCCCUGUAUUGUUGGCACGGAGCAGGGACUCUGUAAGUAGGGAGGGAAAGAAGCAAACCUGUUUUGGUGUAUUUAUAUGGAUCUUGGUUGACAUCCGAUAGACUCUAUAUGGUGUGGGUAGAUAUUUGGUGAGGGUUUUGUGGCCUCGGAAUCCAGCGUCUGUGGGUUAGGAUGGUGCUGUAAUGGUGGCCAGCGCGUGAGUUAAGGAAAAGCUUAUACUUCUGCUUGGGGGACUGGCACAGCAUCCAGUCAAGGACUUGGUUACAGCCAGAAGUGUUUACUUGCAGAAUUACGAUUUCCAGCUUCACUACAGGAACACAAGUCAGCUUCCACCCAGAGGAGUUUUAUUUUAGAUAAGGAGAGCAAGUACUCUCUGAAGGAACAUUCCGGAAGAAUGCAGUGAGAUGAAGUCUACAGGUCGGGGAAAGUUGCCUGGUAAACAGUUUGGUGGGGUCAUUCCUGAGGACUCCUAGGAGGAAAGCUUGAAUAUUUGUCUCCUUCUGUAUGAGCUGAACUCAGCCACUCAGCUUUCUUCCCAACACUUCAGGGAGGCCACCUGGGUCUCACAUCUCUUUCCCCAGAGACAGGUAACAGUCACUACUGAGACGUUUUCUUUCUUCUUCACGUAGUACUAGACUCAGAUUUACCAUAUUUUAGAGCCUAGAUCUGCAUCGGUAUCUGUUUGUUUGUGUAGUUUGGUUUAUUUUUGUCUUUUUU